This 460-nucleotide ribosomal RNA is filed under the name uncultured bacterium. RNAcentral describes it as "partial 16S ribosomal RNA". It matches the Rfam family "Bacterial small subunit ribosomal RNA", at positions 338 to 795 of the family's 1533-position model. The record is from RNAcentral.
CCUACGGGUGGCAGCAGUGAGGAAUAUUGGUCAAUGGGCGAGAGCCUGAACCAGCCAAGCCGCGUGAAGGAUGAAGGCCCUACGGGUUGUAACCUUCUUUUGUCAGGGCGCAGUUGAGUCCACGUGUGGGCUUAGCGAGAGCACCUGACGAAGAAGCAUCGGCUAACUCCGUGCCAGCAGCCGCGGUCAUACGGAGGAUGCGAGGGUUAUCCGGAUUUAUUGGGUUAAAGGGGUGCGUGGAGGGAAUGUCAAGUCAGCGGGAAAAAUUCGGGGCUCAACCCCGUAGUGCCGUUGAAACUGGGUGUCUUGAGUGGGCGAGAGGUAGGCGGAAUGCGUGGUGUAGCGGUGAAAUGCAUAGAUAUCACGCAGAACACCGAUUGCGAAGGCAGCAUACCGGCGCCCAACUGACGCUGAGGCACGAAAGCGUGGGUAUCGAACAGGAUUAGAUACCCUAGUAGUC